UAGUACACUUAAAUUAAAUUUGCAAAUACUAGAAUAUUAGAAGUUAUGUUCUUUAAAUUUAAAAAAUUUGGCGGUGUUUUAGUCUAGUUAGAGGAACCUGUUUUAUAAACGAUACAACACGCAUUAUUUUACUUAUUUUAGUAAGACAGCUUGUAUACCGUCAUUAUAAGAUAAUUUAGGAGAGAAUAUUAUUGGGAUCAUAUUAUUGAGUAUAUUAGAUCAAGGUGCAGCUUAUAAAUAAGUAAACAUGGGUUACAAUAAAAUUUAUUUAAUAUGAAUUAAGUAUUUAAAUAUAUUUAUGAAGGAGGAUUUAAUUGUAAGAGAAGGAGUAGUGAGAUUUUCUGAUAUAAGCUCUAAAUUAU
RNAcentral lists this ribosomal RNA (362 nucleotides) under Procambarus advena. RNAcentral describes it as "partial small subunit ribosomal RNA". The record is from RNAcentral. Lineage: Eukaryota; Metazoa; Arthropoda; Malacostraca; Decapoda; Cambaridae.